This 848-nucleotide non-coding RNA is filed under the name Prumna arctica. RNAcentral describes it as "12S ribosomal RNA". The stretch from base 397 to 837 matches the Rfam family "Microsporidia small subunit ribosomal RNA", at positions 752 to 1303 of the family's 1311-position model. The record is from RNAcentral. Lineage: Eukaryota; Metazoa; Arthropoda; Insecta; Orthoptera; Acrididae.
UAGUUUAUUAUAAAGUUAUUUUCUAUUUUAUUUUAGUUAAAAUUUGAUUUUAUGUUAAAAGUUUUAUUCUUGCUUAAAAAUUUACUAUUUCUUUAUAUUAUAUGUAAGUUUUGUUAAACUAAAUGUUCUUUUUGCAGUUAUUUGAUUUAAUUAUCAAGUAUUUUGGAAUUAGCAAUUGAUUUAGUAUUGGCAUAAUUCGUGCCAGCAGCCGCGGUUAUACGAUUUAUACAAAUGAAUAUUUUUGGUUAAAGCAGUUAUUUAUAAUUUUGGAUUUAAUUAUAAAUUUUUAUGGUGAAAUUUAAUUUUUAUUUAUGAUUCUUCUUAUGAAUCUGUGAAACUUAAAUAAUAAACUAGGAUUAGAUACCCUAUUAUUUUAAGUGUUAAUUAUGUUUACCUGGGUAGUAUUAGUUAAGGUCUUAAAACCCAAAGAAUUUGGCGGUAUCUCAUUCCAUUCAGAGGAACCUAUCCCUUAAUUGACAAUACACGAUUAACUUUACUUAAUUUAUUUGUUUGUAUAUCUCCGUUAACAGAAAAUCUUUUUAGAGUUAUAAUUUUCUUAAUUUAUAAUUGUAAAUUAUUUCAGGUCAAGGUGCAGCUUAUAAUUAAGAGGAGAUGGGUUACAAUAGAUUUUUUCUAUAACGGAUUUAAUAUUAAAAUAUAUUAAUGAAGGUGGAUUUGAUAGUAAUUUUCCAUAUUUAAUUUAAUUGAUGUUGGCUCUGAGGUGUGUACAUAUCGCCCGUCGCUCUCAUUUUUAAUAUUUAUUAAUUAUUAUAAAGUAAUAAUUUAAGUUAAAUGAGAUAAGUCGUAACAUAGUAGAUGUACUGGAAAGUGUAUCUAGAAAGAGUUUC